GGGGUUAUUGCUCAGUGAUAGAGUGCUUGCCUAGCAGGCAAAACUCCCUGAGUUCAAUCCCCAGCACCACCA
Molecule: transfer RNA, 72 nt
Filed under: Urocitellus parryii (Arctic ground squirrel)
Lineage: Eukaryota; Metazoa; Chordata; Mammalia; Rodentia; Sciuridae
Also listed under: 2 other names
Description: Spermophilus parryii (Arctic ground squirrel) tRNA
Rfam family: tRNA
About the family: Transfer RNA (tRNA) molecules are approximately 80 nucleotides in length. Their secondary structure includes four short double-helical elements and three loops (D, anti-codon, and T loops).
Source: Rfam by way of RNAcentral